UACGUAAGGGGCGAGCGUUGUUCGGAUUGACUGGGUGUAAAGGGUCUGUAGGCGGCAUUGUAAGUCACGUGUGAAAUCCGGAAGCUUAACUUCCGAACUGCACCUGAUACUGCAAUGCUUGAGAACGAGAGAGGCAAGCGGAAUUCCCGGUGGAGCGGUGAAAUGCGUAGAUAUCGGGAGGAACACCAGUGGCGAAGGCGGCUUGCUGGCUCGUUUCUGACGCUAAGGGACGAAGGCGUGGGGAGCAAACAGG
RNAcentral lists this unclassified non-coding RNA (253 nucleotides) under uncultured bacterium. RNAcentral describes it as "contains 16S-23S intergenic spacer region". It matches the Rfam family "Bacterial small subunit ribosomal RNA", at positions 524 to 776 of the family's 1533-position model. The record is from RNAcentral.